UACGUAGGGUGCAGGCGUUAAUCGGAAUUACUGGGCGUAAAGCGUGCGCAGGCGGUCUUUUAAGUCAGAUGUGAAAUCCCCGGGCUCAACCUGGGAACUGCAUUUGUGACUGCACAGCUGGAGUGCGGCAGAGGGGGAUGGAAUUCCGCGUGUAGCAGUGAAAUGCGUAGAUAUGCGGAGGAACACCGAUGGCGAAGGCAAUCCCCUGGGCCUGCACUGACGCUCAUGCACGAAAGCGUGGGGAGCAAACAGG
RNAcentral lists this ribosomal RNA (253 nucleotides) under uncultured bacterium. Its description in RNAcentral is "partial 16S ribosomal RNA". It matches the Rfam family "Bacterial small subunit ribosomal RNA", at positions 524 to 776 of the family's 1533-position model. The record is from RNAcentral.